GAUGAAGAACGUAGUGAAAUGCGAUAAGUAAUGUGAAUUGCAGAAUUCAGUGAAUCAUCGAAUCUUUGAACGCACAUUGCGCCCCUUGGUAUUCCGAGGGGCAUGCCUGUUCGAGCGUCAUUAUAACCCCUCAAGCUCAGCUUGGUGUUGGGGCCUGCUGCACUGGCAGCCCUUAAAAUCAGUGGCGGCGCCGUCUGGCUCUAAGCGUAGUAAUUCUUCUCGCUAUGGAGACCUGGUGGAUGCUUGCCAUCAACCCCCAAUUUUUCUAUGGUUGACCUCGGAUCAGGUAGGGAUACCCGCUGAACUUAAGCAUAUCAAUAAGCGGAGGA
Molecule: unclassified non-coding RNA, 329 nt
Filed under: soil metagenome
Description: partial contains 5.8S ribosomal RNA, internal transcribed spacer 2, and large subunit ribosomal RNA
Rfam family: 5.8S ribosomal RNA (bases 1-120)
Source: RNAcentral